RNAcentral lists this ribosomal RNA (305 nucleotides) under uncultured bacterium. RNAcentral describes it as "bacterial SSU rRNA". It matches the Rfam family "Bacterial small subunit ribosomal RNA", at positions 337 to 658 of the family's 1533-position model. The record is from RNAcentral.
UCCUACGGGAGGCAGCAGUCGAGAAUCAUUCACAAUGGGGGAAACCCUGAUGGUGCGACGCCGCGUGAAGGAAGAAGGCCUUCGGGUCGUAAACUUCUGUCCUUGGGGAAGAAGAACUGACGGUACCCAAGGAGGAAGCCCCGGCUAACUACGUGCCAGCAGCCGCGGUAAUACGUAGGGGGCAAGCGUUAUCCGGAAUUAUUGGGCGUAAAGAGUACGUAGGUGGCAACCUAAGCGCAGGGUUUAAGGCAAUGGCUCAACAAUUGUUCGCCCUGCGAACUGGGAUGCUUGAGUGCAGGAGAGGA